RNAcentral lists this ribosomal RNA (497 nucleotides) under uncultured bacterium. RNAcentral's name for it is "partial 16S ribosomal RNA". It matches the Rfam family "Bacterial small subunit ribosomal RNA", at positions 28 to 507 of the family's 1533-position model. The record is from RNAcentral.
GAUGAACGCUGGCGGCGUGCCUAAUACAUGCAAGUCGAGCGAACGGACGAGAAGCUUGCUUCUCUGAUGUUAGCGGCGGACGGGUGAGUAACACGUGGAUAACCUACCUAUAAGACUGGGAUAACUUCGGGAAACCGGAGCUAAUACCGGAUGAUAUUUUGAACCGCAUGGUUCAAAAGUGAAAGACGGUCUUGCUGUCACUUAUAGAUGGAUCCGCGCUGCAUUAGCUAGUUGGUAAGGUAACGGCUUACCAAGGCAACGAUGCAUAGCCGACCUGAGAGGGUGAUCGGCCACACUGGAACUGAGACACGGUCCAGACCCCUACGGGAGGCAGCAGUAGGGAAUCUUCCGCAAUGGGCGAAAGCCUGACGGAGCAACGCCGCGUGAGUGAUGAAGGUCUUCGGAUCGUAAAACUCUGUUAUUAGGGAAGAACAGAUGUGUAAGUAACUGUGCACAUCUUGACGGUACCUAAUCAGAAAGCAACGGCUAACUACGUG